Molecule: long non-coding RNA, 6076 nt
Filed under: Sus scrofa (pig)
Lineage: Eukaryota; Metazoa; Chordata; Mammalia; Artiodactyla; Suidae
Description: lncRNA (ENSSSCG00000054013.1)
Source: RNAcentral
UCAGGCUCUCUGUUGAGUAUUUCACAUGUGAGAAUGAAGGAAGGAAGGAAGGACCAUCAAAAAAUGAGCACCAAGAAUAUGAAAAUCAUCUGAAUGAAUAGUAGGUCUCAUCUUAAACAAAAUUAUGCAUGAAAUCUUUUUGUUUACAUAAAAUUUAGGGGAAAGUUUCAAAAUCAGUAUCACAUGAUUCACCUAACUUGCAAACCAGGGAAAAACUCAAGUUUUGUGGGUAAACUACCAAGAGCAAAGCUUGGGAAAGACCAUCCAGGAUAAAACAGUAAAGUGCUAACAGUAGCUGAGCGAAAGAGAUGGGAGGCCUAGGGUAAAUGUGCAUUUUACUCAGAUUUUCAAAAAAAACUAAUUCUGGAUAUACUAUUUUGUGAACUACAUUUUCCACUCAGCACAUCUUGAUCAUCUUAUUACAUCAUCAAAUGUUCCUCUGCAACACUUGAAAAAAGUGGUUGCAAGAAUUCCAUUGCAUGUGUGUACCACUGCUUAUUUAAUUCUUCCUCUAAGAUUGGGCCACUUAAAUGUUAGAUUACCUCCGAUUUUUCACUAUUAUUCACUUGUAGCUAAAUCUUUGCAGUUGUCCUUAAUUAUUUGCUUAGAGUAAAUUUAAUAUAUUGAAGGGAUCAAGUUAUAGGGAUCAAUAUUUCCAACUGUAUUUCAGAAGAACAUGGAUUCGCAUGUAUUUUAUCUGGGCCUGAGAUCAUAUCCUUCUUUUAAUUCACAAAGCACAAAGCUAACAACUUCAAAACAUGUAAUUGCAUUAACAACACUUAGCAUUUUAAUUUACUUUCACUGAGUUUCUUUAACAUUUCUUCAUCUUGCCUCAAUCAAAGCAGAAAAAUGUUAGCAAUGUUAAAUCAAAAGAAAUUAUAAGGGAGCGAUCUGGGAAUGGCAGGACCUUGGUUUAUGGUACAUUCCUGACAGUGAAUAUUUAAAAUACUUGUCAUGAUAGUUCUCCAAAUUCUGAAGAGUCUUUAAACAUAUGCAACUGAGUGAUAAAUCUUACAAAGCAAUCUUGGACCUCUAUGCUAUGUUUCCAAGAAAAAUCUCUAGUUUUUGAGAAUAGUAAGCAUUUUAAAAGGUCAAAACUGAAUUAUUUUUGACCUCUUACCUCCUAAAAGGGAAACCAGGCCACUUGAUGUCUUGUAUGGUCCAAAGAGGAAAGGGCUUCUAAAAUUAGUAUGAAGCCAGUCCUACUGUGACAUAAUAAUGAAUAGAAUCACUGAUUUCAUAAACAAUAGGACUUAGGGUCUAUGGGAAAGUCAGCUUGGCUGACAUUCUUAGAGGGAAAUUUCCUCCAAAGUCAAUGCUAGAAACAAAAGAUGAGGAGCCGCAAUAUUCCCACCUAAUGGAAAUCUUACUUUACAGGAUGCAUUUCAGCAGUCGCCUUUCUUAAAGGGCAAAACAUCUCAGAUACUGAAAUGCCAUAGGACACAGUAAAAAACAGUACAGCUAAUGAAUCUCAUUAAAUAGCUUUGUCUAGUAUUGCUAUUUGCAAUGCCAGGCCUUCUGGCAUGUCAGUCAUGACCUUGAAAAACUUUAUAAAAAAAAAAUUAUCCCAGGAGUUCUCGUUGUGACUCAGUGGUAAUGAACCUGACUAGUAUCCAUGAGGAUGUGGGUUUGGUCCCUGGCCUCGCUCAUCAGGUUAAGGACCUGGCAUUGCCAUGAGCUGUGGUUCUAGAUGCAGCUUGGAUAUGGUGUUGCUGUGGCUCUGACAUAGGCCAGCAGCUGCAGCUCUGAUUCAACCCCUAGCCUGGGAACUUCCAUAUGCUGCAGGUGCAGCCCUAAAAAUGCAAAGAAAAAAAAAAGUGACCCCAAUCUCAGAAAACACUAAUAGAUCCACAAUCUGUAAAACCCUCUCUGCUGUCUUUAAUCUUUCAAACCUGCAUAUUGUCAGAUGAAUAAAUCUAAUCAACUGGCAAAGCCCUUAAGAUGUAUUUGGAUCUUUUAAAAUAGAAUCUAAUAAUUAAGGGAUCUGGGAAGGGAAAAAAACCGAGACAUCAACUUGUCUCAAAAAUGUUAUCCUGUUUUUAUGUUUCUAAUAAAAUUUGGUUCCAGAGAUGCUAUCAGAAGAAGUAAAGAAGUAGCUUUAACAGUACUCUUGAGCAUUUGGGAGUUUUUAUUUGCUUUGUUGUUGUUGUUGUUUUGAGUUUAGGAUGUUUUGUUUUGUUUUGCUUUGCAAGUUCAGGUAUUUUAACUGUGGUUGUUCUUCCAAAAUGGUAGUUCUUCUCCACUUCGGCCACUGCUUCAAGUCAUUGGAUAUCAUGUUUUGAACAACAUCUAGCACAGACCAAAAGGUUUAUGAAAUGACCACUGCUCAAACUUCAUGAAAUGGAGCAUUAAGACCCACUAGGGAGCUGGAGGUUGUCCAUCAAUGUUUUUCAGCAGUUUUGUUUCUGGUGUUUCUGCUCAUUUUUCUCAGGACAUUCUCUUUACAAUCUUUGACUAUGAUUCUUUGAAGACCUUCCCUUUGAAUCCCUAAGGUAACUAAGUUUCUGAAACAUUUGCUACAUUAAUUAAUGCCACUCAAAUAGAGAUUAAAUUGCCCCAGGUUCCUAGUCAAAUGGAGACUCUUCCCCUUGAUGGGUCACCAAAAAAAGGAAUAGAAGCAAGUGUACACACAUGCAAAAAUACCCAUCAAUUCCAGAACUACUCACAACACAGUCCCAGAAAGCUGUCUUGUUACUAAAAGAUCCUAAAUGAAAAUAUUUUUUAAAAAAAGGUUUUCAAAAAAUAGGGUAAAGCUUGAACUUUGGAGAGCAGGCUCCGACAAGAUCUGUUUACAGCAUGCUGUUAUCUUAUGGGUUGGCACACAGACCAAGGAUGAUCUGACGUGAGAAUCUCAGGAAUGCUAUAGCUCAGGCUCAUGGAGGCACUUUGGCAGAAAGCCCCAAACACAUGAAAGUUCUAUUGUCACGAUCAUGAUCUCACUGUGGGAACACUCAAUGUCAGGUGCCACAUUUGAAACAAAAAGUAAAAAGUAUGCUUCUCUGAACUAAUAGUGCAGAACUUUAUGGACCAUGACGUGCUUCAACCCAGAGAAUCAUGACCAAUUUAGUAGAGCAGGAAGAGGUCAUUUUCCAAUCAUUGAAUUCUAACAGAAUUCCCUAAAGAGCAGAAAGGAACUAUGCUGUGUUUCCCUGCAAACAAAGUAGAGUGGUCAAGGAUGUUAAAGCACUCAGGACUGAGUCUUGGCACACAGAGAAAAUAAAGAAGUGUGGAAGUGGAGAUAAAGGCAUUCUUAAAGGUGGGGUGGAGUCUCAGGGGGCGAAAAUAAAGGAAAUAUUUAAAAUAGUGCAUCCAUGGGCCAGGUACACCAUGUCUCCACCUGCUCUGCAACUCAGUAAAUGCUUAUUGCCUUGAAUUAAUAUGCACCUUACUUCUAUAAUGCAGUCCAGAACUUAAUUAGCUAGUCCAUGCAAGCCCUUAGGAAAGAAGGUCAUUUUUUUUUUUUUUUUUUUGCUUUUUAGGGCCACACCCAUGGCAUAUGAAGGUUCCCGGGCUCAGGGUCCAAUCGGAGCUAUAGCUGCUGGCCUACACCACAGCCACAGCAACACCAAAUCCGAGCUGCAUCUGUGACCUAGACCACAGCUCACAGCAACGCCGGAUCCUUGACCCACUGAGUGAGAUCGGGAUCAAACCCAGAAUUUCAUGGUUCUUAGUUGGAUACGUUUCCACUAUACCAUGAAGGGAACUCCUCAUUCUUAAUGUACUUCCAUUUUUUGUGUGGAGAACCAGAGACAUGAAAUGGUUAAGUGACAUCCGUAGGUCACCCUAUGAGUUAGAGGCAGAGCCAAGAUGAGAGCCAGAUGCACAAACGCCCACCAGCCACCACUGAUCUGGUCAGCCACUGAUCUUGUCAGUCAAGGCCAGUUGCUGAGGAGACAGGAAUUUUAAGAUAAACAGAAUUUGAGGUCUAGACUCAGAGGAUUUUCAGUUCCCUCAACAGAUGAAGAAAUUUGAAAUUAACUCAUCACACUCUUCCAGGGACUGGCUUAGGAAAUUGGAACUUCCAGGGUCAAGGGCAAAAUUAUGGAGGAAAAACUCUAAGACGGCACAAGAAAGACUAAUUGAGGCAGGGCAAGGUCCCACAGGAAGGGUGUGAGCUCUGGAGCCUCUGAAUCCAGCUCUGCCACUCACCAGCUGUGGCCUAAAGCAAUUUACUAACCUCUCUAAGACUCAGUUCCUCACCUAUACAAGGAAAAUUGUCAUGGUCAUCUUGUAGAAUUGAUGUGGAUACUGAAGAUGUUUUAUAAGCCCUUAGUGUGAAGAUGAGUCCAUAACAGUCACUCAGAGACAAAACAACAAACAAAAUGCUAGUUACAGACAUGAUUCCACAAAGAACAGCAGGGCUUCAUACAUUCAGAGGACAUGUGAAGGUUUCCACUGACUUGAAAGGAAAUCUAAAAUUAUUAAUAAACACAUGGACAGGACAUUCAAUCUGCAGAUCAUCAGGAUAAUUUUUUCAAUAUGAGAAAAGUGCUAUCCAGCAGCUUAUGAGCAGAUGUCAUCCUGGAGUGGUGCCCUUGACACAGGGCAGUCUGCCUUUCAUUGUCUGUUCUCCCUCUCACUCUCUCAGUUAUGGCUUUUAAUAUAUUACGUUCAUCAAACACACCGCAUACUGUAUGGUGGUAUAUCCAUAUACUCUACAGACUUCAUUUUAACUGCAGACGCCCAAGAUUGAGGGCAGCUGUAAUAGGCACUUAAAUUUGCCCCAAUACUUAAGAAAGGGUUAGAUUACUUAAUGCUGCAUCUAAUGGUAGGUUUUGUGACAGAAGUGAUUACUGAAAAUGCAUUUGGGGGUUCUCACCUUCCAGCCCAAAACUGCAUUAAACCAGCAUGGUGCGCUGCAUUUGGUAUUUUACUUGACAAGAUAAAUAUAUCUCUGUAUCAAAGAGAAAGCACCCCCUUUUCCCAUGAAACUGAUUUUAAAGGGGGUAACACUUCUGAGGGAGAGAUACUACAGAAAUCUUGGGAACAUCCAAGACUGCAGAUGUUAAAUAGCAUCAAGGUUGAAAAAACCUCAGUGGUCUACUGAUAGCCUUGAAAUAGGUACCAGUUACACCUUUCUUGACCAUAAAGUUAGUCCAGGUGCUGCUUAAAGAUCUGAAGUAAUAGGGUGACUGUUUAAAAUAAUUUAAGAAUUUCGAAGAGUAAUCACAUGAAGAAAAAAAAACCCAAAGUGAAACAGAGGAUAAGUGAAAAAAAUCGACUCCUAUAGCAAGUUAAAAAUCCCUGGAACUUUCUCACUCCUUUAGGUUGAGCUAAGCCAGAAGUCUUCAGGUUGAGGAAAACCAGGACUAUAAAAGCCAGGGUAGGCUUUUAAAUUAAAUUUACCAAUUUAUGGUUUCCUUUAACAUGAUCAAAGCUAAACUUUCACAGGGAAGCUUUCUCAGUAAUAAAGUCAAGUCAUUCCACCUUCAAAGACGUUUCCAUGUCUACUCAACAGCUUUGAUUGCACAGUACCUGCUUUCUUCAAAAUUAAAUUGCACGUUUGUAAAUUUUGAUCAACAAACUAGUGCUAGUUUCCCAGAUUUCAUGCUCAAUCCUGAAUGACCUAGGGGGAACACUGUGAAGGUAGGGAAAUUUGUAAAGGCUCUGCCUUCUUUGCUUUCCCUUAAAGGCUGGGGUUCACUAUGCUCCAUCUUUCCAUCUUUCACCCUCUUCUUAUCUUACUUUACCGACCCUCUCUGGGUGAUACUGUCCACUGCUCCCUACAUGCUGAUAAUUCCCAAUUCUACCUACUCCUAGCCUCUCUCAUGAGCUUCAGUCUCAUAUCUCUGCUGGGUAUCCUAUUCUCAAAGUCAUCAUGUGCAUUAAAGAGGUCUUCCCUACCAAAUGUACUUCUUGUCCUCCCUUCUCAUUUUCUUUUACUGGUACCAAGAUCCAUCCAAUCACUGAAGCCAGAAAUCAGAACACAGAGGAGACUCCGAAGAUAGUAGCAUUUUACUGCAGUGUGGAAAAUCAGGAAGGCAUUCCAAAUGGCACCAUGUCAUAAUAGAGACACCAAAAUGAGAAAGAGCAUAGCAUGUGUGUUAUUAGUCAGGAUAAGAUAGGCUCUGAUGAG